Molecule: ribosomal RNA, 696 nt
Filed under: uncultured bacterium
Lineage: Bacteria
Description: bacterial SSU rRNA
Rfam family: Bacterial small subunit ribosomal RNA
Source: RNAcentral
AACGCUAGCUACAGGCUUAACACAUGCAAGUCGAGGGGAAACGAUAGAGAAAGCUUGCUUUUUCUAGGCGUCGACCGGCGCACGGGUGAGUAACGCGUAUCCAACCUGCCCACCACUUGGGGAUAACCUUGCGAAAGUAAGACUAAUACCCAAUGACGUCUCUAGAAGACAUCUGAAAGGGAUUAAAGAUUUAUCGGUGAUGGAUGGGGAUGCGUCUGAUUAGCUUGUUGGCGGGGUAACGGCCCACCAAGGCAACGAUCAGUAGGGGUUCUGAGAGGAAGGUCCCCCACAUUGGAACUGAGACACGGUCCAAACUCCUACGGGAGGCAGCAGUGAGGAAUAUUGGUCAAUGGGCGAGAGCCUGAACCAGCCAAGUAGCGUGCAGGAUGACGGCCCUAUGGGUUGUAAACUGCUUUUAUAAGGGAAUAAAGUGAGCCUCGUGAGGCUUUUUGCAUGUACCUUAUGAAUAAGGACCGGCUAAUUCCGUGCCAGCAGCCGCGGUAAUACGGAAGGUCCGGGCGUUAUCCGGAUUUAUUGGGUUUAAAGGGAGCGUAGGCCGGAAAUUAAGCGUGUUGUGAAAUGUAGAUGCUCAACAUCUGCACUGCAGCGCGAACUGGUUUCCUUGAGUACGCACAAAGUGGGCGGAAUUCGUGGUGUAGCGGUGAAAUGCUUAGAUAUCACGAAGAACUCCGAUUG